CUUUCCCAGGACUACGUUUCCGAUGACACUGUACUUCAGUCUACCGACUAUUGAUGGUCACUCUAAUCAUCGUCCAUAUUACGGUCUACAUAUGCCAACAUCG
This 103-nucleotide non-coding RNA is filed under the name Compsopogon caeruleus. Lineage: Eukaryota; Rhodophyta; Compsopogonophyceae; Compsopogonales; Compsopogonaceae. The record is from RNAcentral.